GCAUACCGCGGAAGUAGGCGGCAAAAAGCGUACAACGGAGUCCAAUGGGAGUGUCGCAACUCUUUCUCUCUAUGGCUCUGGCUGUGACUAGUUUUAUUCUUCUCAAAUCUCCACGAUUACCUAUUUGGACGCACUGGAAGAGGCUGCUUUUUAUCUCGCAAAAGGUACAUCAUUCCUACAGCUUGAAUGAAUCGCCUCUGACAACUUGGGUUGCUGUG
Molecule: long non-coding RNA, 218 nt
Organism: Alosa sapidissima (American shad)
Lineage: Eukaryota; Metazoa; Chordata; Actinopteri; Clupeiformes; Clupeidae
Exons: 2
Source: RefSeq, a predicted model, not a curated record